RNAcentral lists this ribosomal RNA (253 nucleotides) under uncultured bacterium. Its description in RNAcentral is "partial 16S ribosomal RNA". It matches the Rfam family "Bacterial small subunit ribosomal RNA", at positions 524 to 776 of the family's 1533-position model. The record is from RNAcentral.
UACGAAGGGGGCUAGCGUUGCUCGGAAUCACUGGGCGUAAAGCGCACGUAGGCGGCUUUCUAAGUCAGAGGUGAAAUCCUGGAGCUCAACUCCAGAACUGCCUUUGAUACUGGAAAGCUUGAGUUCGGGAGAGGUGAGUGGAACUGCGAGUGUAGAGGUGAAAUUCGUAGAUAUUCGCAAGAACACCAGUGGCGAAGGCGACUCGCUGGACAAGUAUUGACGCUGAGGUGCGAAAGCGUGGGGAGCAAACAGG